GUUUUAGUAGUUUAAUAAUAAAACAAUGAUUUUGUAAAUCAUAAAUAGAUAAAUCUCUAAAACU
This 64-nucleotide transfer RNA is filed under the name Scotinophara lurida. RNAcentral describes it as "tRNA-Thr". It matches the Rfam family "tRNA". From Rfam's summary of the family: Transfer RNA (tRNA) molecules are approximately 80 nucleotides in length. Their secondary structure includes four short double-helical elements and three loops (D, anti-codon, and T loops). Further hydrogen bonds mediate the characteristic L-shaped molecular structure. tRNAs have two regions of fundamental functional importance: the anti-codon, which is responsible for specific mRNA codon recognition, and the 3' end, to which the tRNAs corresponding amino acid is attached (by aminoacyl-tRNA synthetases). tRNAs cope with the degeneracy of the genetic code in two manners: having more than one tRNA (with a specific anti-codon) for a particular amino acid; and 'wobble' base-pairing, i.e. permitting non-standard base-pairing at the 3rd anti-codon position. The record is from RNAcentral. Lineage: Eukaryota; Metazoa; Arthropoda; Insecta; Hemiptera; Pentatomidae.